AUUGAACGCUGGCGGCAGGCCUAACACAUGCAAGUCGAACGAGUGGCGGACGGGUGAGUAAUGUCUGGGAAACUGCCCGAUGGAGGGGGAUAACUACUGGAAACGGUAGCUAAUACCGCAUACCAUCGGAUGUGCCCAGAUGGGAGUAGCUAGUGGGUGGGGUAACGGCUCACCUAGGCGACGCUCCCUAGCUGGUCUGAGAGGAUGACCAGCCACACUGGAAAUGAGAAACGGUCCAGACUCCGACGGGAGGCAGCAGUGUGGAAUAUUGCACAAGGGGCGGAAGCCAAGUAGAGCCAUGCCGCGUGUAUGAAGAAGGCCUUCGGGUUGUAAAGUACUUUCAGCGAGGAGGCGUUACUCGCAGAAGAAGCACCGGCUAACUCCGUGCCAGCAGCCGCGGUAAUAC
Molecule: ribosomal RNA, 406 nt
Filed under: uncultured bacterium
Lineage: Bacteria
Description: partial 16S ribosomal RNA
Rfam family: Bacterial small subunit ribosomal RNA
Source: RNAcentral